GCCCGCGUAGCUCAGCUGGAUAGAGCGUCUGCCUCCGGAGCAGAAGGUCGUGAGUUCGAAUCUCGCCGCGGGUAC
RNAcentral lists this transfer RNA (75 nucleotides) under bacterium BMS3Bbin04. RNAcentral's name for it is "tRNA-Arg". It matches the Rfam family "tRNA". Rfam says of the family: Transfer RNA (tRNA) molecules are approximately 80 nucleotides in length. Their secondary structure includes four short double-helical elements and three loops (D, anti-codon, and T loops). The record is from RNAcentral.